GUGAAAUUGUUGAAAGGGAAACGAUUGAAGUCAGUCAUGCCGGCGAGAAAUCAGCUUACAGGCUACUGUGGGUGCACUUUUUCGCAAGGCAGGUUAACAUCGAUUUUUUGUUACGUUAUAAUGAUUGUAGGAAGGUGGCUCCUUCGGGAGUGUUAUAGCCUACUUUAGAUGGCGUGAUAGAGAUCAAGGAUUGCAGCGAAUGCCUUUAGGCUACGGGACUGUUCUUUGUUGAUUGUCAAUUGGCCUUCAGCUUGCUGAGGCCCGAUUGAACGAUUUACAAUAGGAUGGAAUCUGAUAAAUUCGCUAAGGAUAUUGACGUAAUGGCUUUAAACGAC
This 335-nucleotide ribosomal RNA is filed under the name uncultured Glomeromycotina. Its description in RNAcentral is "eukaryotic LSU rRNA". The record is from RNAcentral. Lineage: Eukaryota; Fungi; Glomeromycota.